GAUGAACGCUGGCGGCGUGCCUAAUACAUGCGAGUCGAACGAAAAGACGAGUAUCGUGGUGCUCUGGAGUUACGAACGGGCGGGUAACUCGCGAGUAACUAGCCUACCUCUUAGGGUUGGCUACCUUCAGGAAGCCGUAACACCUGACGGAUAAUCUUUUGGACCGCAGGGGUCAGGAGUGAAAGACCGGUUUGCUGUCACUUAUCGGUGGAUCCGCGCUGCGUUAGCUAGGUGGUAAAGUAACGGCUUACCGAGGAGACGAUGCGUAGCCGACCUGAGAGGGUGAUCCGCCACACUGGAACUGAGAGACGGUCCAGGCUCCUACGGGAGGCAGCAGUAGGGACUCUUCCGCGAUGUGCGAAAGCCUGACGGAGCAGCGCCGCGUGAGUGAUGAAGCUCCGCGGACCGUAAAACUCUGUUAUUAUUGAAGAACACAUGCGUAAGUAACUAUGCUCUUCUUGACGGUACCUAAUCAGAAAGCCCCGGCUAACUACGUG
This 497-nucleotide ribosomal RNA is filed under the name uncultured bacterium. RNAcentral's name for it is "partial 16S ribosomal RNA". It matches the Rfam family "Bacterial small subunit ribosomal RNA", at positions 28 to 507 of the family's 1533-position model. The record is from RNAcentral.